AAAGGAAAAGACAUGACUGAAGCGAAAAAGUAUAAGCUGGAUCCAGCAAUAGUAUCCGAGGACUUAGUAAGAAAGCAAGUGAAAUAGCUAGGUCAUUCAAAGGAGCAGCUAAAAAAGCCCUUUAUAGGGUAGGGUAGGAAAACCAGAAUAAAGAGAGAACCUUUCAAUAGACUUCGAAAGAAAGAGAUCGGCUUGGUGGGCUCAAAAAGAGAUGGUCGAU
This 220-nucleotide long non-coding RNA is filed under the name Durio zibethinus. RNAcentral describes it as "long non-coding RNA (DZIB_LNC000038)". The record is from RNAcentral. Lineage: Eukaryota; Viridiplantae; Streptophyta; Magnoliopsida; Malvales; Malvaceae.